UACGAAGGGGGCUAGCGUUGUUCGGAAUCACUGGGCGUAAAGCGUGCGCAGGCGGUUAUGUAAGACAGUUGUGAAAUCCCCGGGCUCAACCUGGGAACUGCAUCUGUGACUGCAUAGCUAGAGUACGGUAGAGGGGGAUGGAAUUCCGCGUGUAGCAGUGAAAUGCGUAGAUAUGCGGAGGAACACCGAUGGCGAAGGCAAUCCCCCUGGGCCUGCACUGACGCUCAUGCACGAAAGCGUGGGGAGCAAACAGG
This 254-nucleotide ribosomal RNA is filed under the name uncultured bacterium. RNAcentral describes it as "partial 16S ribosomal RNA". It matches the Rfam family "Bacterial small subunit ribosomal RNA", at positions 524 to 776 of the family's 1533-position model. The record is from RNAcentral.